UACGUAGGGUGCGAAGCGUUAAUCGGAAUUACUGGGCGUAAAGCGUGCGCAGGCUGUUUUGUAAGUCAGAUGUGAAAUCCCUGGGCUCAACCUAGGAACUGCGUUUGAAACUACAAGGCUAGAGUGUAGCAGAGGGGGGGUAGAAUUCCACGUGUAGCAGUGAAAUGCGUAGAGAUGUGGAGGAAUACCAAUGGCGAAGGCAGCCCCCUGGGUUAACACUGACGCUCAUGCACGAAAGCGUGGGGAGCAA
RNAcentral lists this ribosomal RNA (250 nucleotides) under uncultured bacterium. Its description in RNAcentral is "partial 16S ribosomal RNA". It matches the Rfam family "Bacterial small subunit ribosomal RNA", at positions 524 to 771 of the family's 1533-position model. The record is from RNAcentral.